This 497-nucleotide ribosomal RNA is filed under the name uncultured bacterium. RNAcentral's name for it is "partial 16S ribosomal RNA". It matches the Rfam family "Bacterial small subunit ribosomal RNA", at positions 28 to 507 of the family's 1533-position model. The record is from RNAcentral.
GAUGAACGCUGGCGGCGUGCCUAAUACAUGCAAGUCGAGCGAACAGACGAGGAGCUUGCUCCUCUGACGUUAGCGGCGGACGGGUGAGUAACACGUGGAUAACCUACCUAUAAGACUGGGAUAACUUCGGGAAACCGGAGCUAAUACCGGAUAAUAUAUUGAACCGCAUGGUUCCAUAGUGAAAGACGGUUUUGCUGUCACUUAUAGAUGGAUCCGCGCCGCAUUAGCUAGUUGGUAAGGUAACGGCUUACCAAGGCGACGAUGCGUAGCCGACCUGAGAGGGUGAUCGGCCACACGGGAACUGAGACACGGUCCAGACUCCUACGGGAGGCAGCAGUAGGGAAUCUUCCGCAAUGGGCGAAAGCCUGACGGAGCAACGCCGCGUGAGUGAUGAAGGUCUUCGGAUCGUAAAACUCUGUUAUUAGGGAAGAACAAAUGUGUAAGUAACUAUGCACGUCUUGACGGUACCUAAUCAGAAAGCCACGGCUAACUACGUG